RNAcentral lists this ribosomal RNA (253 nucleotides) under uncultured bacterium. RNAcentral's name for it is "partial 16S ribosomal RNA". It matches the Rfam family "Bacterial small subunit ribosomal RNA", at positions 524 to 776 of the family's 1533-position model. The record is from RNAcentral.
UACGAAGGGGGCUAGCGUUGCUCGGAAUCACUGGGCGUAAAGGGUGCGUAGGCGGGUCUUUAAGUCAGGGGUGAAAUCCUGGAGCUCAACUCCAGAACUGCCUUUGAUACUGAAGAUCUUGAGUUCGGGAGAGGUGAGUGGAACUGCGAGUGUAGAGGUGAAAUGCGUAGAUAUCUGGAGGAACACCGGUGGCGAAGGCGGCAUCCUGGACCGACACUGACGCUGAGGAGCGAAAGCCAGGGGAGCAAACGGG